RNAcentral lists this ribosomal RNA (253 nucleotides) under uncultured bacterium. Its description in RNAcentral is "partial 16S ribosomal RNA". It matches the Rfam family "Bacterial small subunit ribosomal RNA", at positions 524 to 776 of the family's 1533-position model. The record is from RNAcentral.
UACGGAGGAUGCAAGCGUUAUCCGGAAUGAUUGGGCGUAAAGCGUCCGCAGGUGGCUAUGUAAGUCUGCUGUUAAAGAGUGAGGCUCAACCUCAUAAGAGCAGCGGAAACUACAUGGCUAGAGUGCGUUCGGGGCAGAGGGAAUUCCUGGUGUAGCGGUGAAAUGCGUAGAUAUCAGGAAGAACACCGGUGGCGAAAGCGCUCUGCUAGGCCGCAACUGACACUGAGGGACGAAAGCUAGGGGAGCGAAUGGG